RNAcentral lists this long non-coding RNA (219 nucleotides) under Homo sapiens (human). RNAcentral describes it as "HSALNT0048592". Lineage: Eukaryota; Metazoa; Chordata; Mammalia; Primates; Hominidae. The record is from RNAcentral.
GUCACAGCAGCAAGCAAGUCUAGUGAACAGAUAAGAUGACAUGCUCAGCAAAAUAACAACGAAACCAGAGAGGCUAUGUGGCCCCUCCCACUUGUUCUAUGUCCUGCCUGGUUAUUUCUUGACGUUCUCUUUUCAACCGCAUCCAUCAUGCAUCUCUGUGCCAUUUCAGUGGAUCGUUACAUAGCCAUCAAAAAGCCAAUCCAGGCCAAUCAAUAUAAC